Molecule: transfer RNA, 77 nt
Filed under: Planctomycetota bacterium
Lineage: Bacteria; Pseudomonadati; Planctomycetota
Description: Planctomycetes bacterium tRNA-Met
Rfam family: tRNA
About the family: Transfer RNA (tRNA) molecules are approximately 80 nucleotides in length.
Source: RNAcentral
GGCGGAGUAGCUCAGACGGCUAGAGCGUCGGAUUCAUAACCCGAAGGUCGGCAGUUCGAUUCUGCCCUCCGCUACCA